This 452-nucleotide long non-coding RNA is filed under the name Lonchura striata (white-rumped munia). RNAcentral's name for it is "domestica (Bengalese finch) lncRNA (ENSLSDG00000011811.1)". The record is from RNAcentral. Lineage: Eukaryota; Metazoa; Chordata; Aves; Passeriformes; Estrildidae.
CCCUGUCACCGCGCUGCCAUCGGUGUCACACCCGGUGUCACACUGCCACGCUCCCGGUGUCACACUCAGUGUCACACUCAGUGUCACACUCCCAGCGUCACACUCCCCAUGUCACACUCGCUGUCACCCCCGGCCAUCGCUGCCAUUCUCCCGGUGUCACACUCGGUGUCACACACUCAGUGUCACACUCGCUGUCACACUCACUUGUCACCCCCAUGCCAUCGCUGCCAUGUUCCUGGUGUCACACUCGGUGUCACGCUCUCGGUGUCACACUCAGUGUCACACUCCCUGUCACACUCAGUGUCACACUCCCCAUGUCGCACUCACUGCCACCCUCCCUGUGUCACACUCCCUGUCACACACUCGCUGUCACCCCCCUGCCAUCGCUGCCACCCUCAGUGUCCCCCCUGCCCCCCACGGGUGCCACCCGCCCUGUCCCCAUGGCUGUCCCC